This 524-nucleotide ribosomal RNA is filed under the name uncultured bacterium. RNAcentral describes it as "partial 16S ribosomal RNA". It matches the Rfam family "Bacterial small subunit ribosomal RNA", at positions 28 to 523 of the family's 1533-position model. The record is from RNAcentral.
GACGAACGCUGGCGGCGUGCCUAAUACAUGCAAGUCGAGCGCAGGAAGCUGACGGAACUCUUCGGAGGGAAGGCAGUGGAAUGAGCGGCGGACGGGUGAGUAACACGUAAGGAACCUGCCUCAAGGAUUGGGAUAACUCCGAGAAAUCGGAGCUAAUACCGGAUAGUUCAACGGACCGCAUGGUCCGCUGAUGAAAGGCGCUUCGGCGUCACCUUGAGAUGGCCUUGCGGUGCAUCAGCUAGUUGGUGGGGUAACGGCCUACCAAGGAGACGAUGCAUAGCGGCCCUGAGAGGGUGAUCGGCCACACUGGGACUGAGACACGGCCCAGACACCUACGGGAGGCAGCAGUAGGGAAUCUUCCACAAUGGACGAAAGUCUGAUGGAGCAACGCCGCGUGAGUGAUGAAGGUUUUCGGAUCGUAAAACUCUGUUGUAAGGGAAGAACACGUACGAGAGGGAAUGCUCGUACCUUGACGGUACCUUACGAGAAAGCCACGGCUAACUACGUGCCAGCCGCCGCAGUAA